ACAGCUUCAUCCCGCCCGCCAUCACGGCGGCCUACAACGAAUGGACCAUCCCCUACUGCGCCGAGGUGGCGCCGCCGCUGAGCGUAUGCAGCGCACUCAACGUGUCUGCCGGCAACUGCACCUGCGCGACGUUGCAGCAGCAGGGCCGCUGCGCUGACAUGGGAACCGGCGGCGUGUGGCUGGGCAACACGUCGGACGCCAACCUGCGUGCCAAUGUGGCCAAGACGCUCGGCUACUGCUCUGUGACGUGCGGUCGCUGCAGCGAGGGCCAGGAGUGGUGCCGCGACAUCCCCAUCAUGCCGCUCAGCCUGUCCAGUGAGUGGAAGGAGGGGAUGAGGACACUUGUAAGGCGUUUGCAGUUUGGCUUGCUUCGUGGUUCUAACGCUUCCCGCGGUGUGGCGCCCCUCCCAUUCCAUCUUUGCCUGCAGAGAACCAGACGUGCUCGCAGAUGGUUCCGCUGGGCCGCUGCUACGAGGUGGCGCCCAAGGGCUACUGCCACGACACGUGUGGCGUGUGCAGCGGCGCAGGGCUGCCGUGUGUGGACCUGCGCUGGACAGAUCAGUACACAUGCGCCGACCUCAAGUCUUGGGGCUCGUGCAAUGACACCUGGGUCACGGACAACAACUUUUGUCGAAAGACGUGCGGCGCGUGCACGGGCAUGCCCCGGCCACCGUCGCCGCGGCCGCCUUCGCCACGCCCGCCAUCUCCUUCGCCUCCGUCGCCACGCCCACCAUCGCCGCCCUCACCUCCCUCGCCUAGCCCGCCCUCUCCUAAGCCGCCCUCGCCACCGUCUCCUCCUUCACCCAGCCCACCGUCUCCCAAGCCGCCUACACCGCCAUCCCCCGUGCCGCCCUCGCCCAAGCCUCCCGUGCCGCCUUCUCCCGUACCACCCUCACCGAAGCCCCCUGCGCCUCCUUCGCCCUCCCCGCCAUCUCCCAAGCCGCCCGCGCCCUCUCCCCCUCCGGUCCCUCCAUCCCCAAAGCCACCGUCUCCCUCGCCGCCCACACCUCCCAAGCCGCCGUCGCCUUCCCCGCCCUCGCCGUCGAACAGCCCUUGGCGUUGCACCGGCAACACGGCCGGCAUCGCUGGGUGUGUGGACCCGGCAUCCUACCCAGCGCCUGCCUCGUCAGCCAACGCAGCGACUUGCGGCGUCCUUCCUUCGUGCACAACCAUCGGCUGCCCCCAUUGCGACGCGUCGCUCAAGCGCUGGGACUCGGCUGCGACGUGGACAAAUUACGCUAACCAGGUGCCGGUGUCAGGCGCGGACAAGGACGUAACUCUUCCGCCGGGCACCCGUGUGCUGCUUUCGGGCUGCAUGCUGAGCGGGGGCUCGCGCUUCCGCCGCAUCACCGUUCCCGAGGGCAGCCAGGUAUGCGUCUUGGCGCAUUUGUGGUAAACUGCAAAUGCGGGGACCAGGACCUUGCGCGUUGGAAGUUGGGUGGUUAGCCAACGAAACCGUGUGUGUAAGCCGAGCUUGGGCGUUGCAACCCGGGCGCCUUCCCUGCUCACUUCAAUCGUGCCGUACGCGUUUUGGUCACGCCUCACACCAUGUCCCUGCCCCGGCUUUCUGUGCGCUGUGCAGCUGGUUAUAGACGACGCGCCGCUGAACCUGACGCUGACCACGCUGCUGGUGCAAGGCAACUUCAGUAUGGGCUCCGCCAGCUGCCGCCUGCAGAGCGCCAUCUCCAUCACGUUCGCGCCCGCGGCAGGAGUGCCCACCAACAUGAUGGCGCUCAAGGUGUGCAGGGAAAGCUUCUUUGGGACGGGCCCUCAGUAGGGCAUGUGGGUCGGGAUCGCCCGUGUCCAGGUGGGCUAGGUGGCAGUGUCGCGGGCAAUCAAGGUGUUCAUGCUGGACUCUGUGGCGUAGGAGCACUGUGUGUGCACUCUCCUCUUGUACACCUGCACCAAGGGUUCCCUCCCCUGCACAGGGCAUGAACACCAGCACUGUGGACAUGCACGGCGUGCUGUUCACGCCCACUUGGACGCGGCUGACUCAGACAGCGGCCCCGGGCACUCGUUGGGUGACUGUGCGCGACGCAGUCAACUGGCGUGUGGGGCAGCUGGUGGCCGUCCCUACCAGCGUGUGGAAAGACGAGUGCCGCAACCAGAACGAGGUCAGGCAGAUCCAGAGCAUCAGCGCCGACGGCAAGAACAUCACAUUCACGACGGCGCUGCAGUUUUUGCACUACGGGUAGGUUGGCGCUAACCUUCGAGUGAUGCUGUUUGGACGGCCGGGGCCCGUUUAUGUGCAUGUGGUGCCCAUAGUGACACCACGUACCAUCGCGGUCCUGGUGCAGGGGCCCCGAGUACCAGACGGAAGUGGUGCUCCUGAGCCGCAGCAUCCUGUUGCAAGGCAGCCCCGAGUCCGCGGCCGAGCUGGCGGGCGGGCACGUGCGCAUUGAGAGCAAGGUGGGUUCGCGCGAGGGCAAGGUGACCACUUGGCGGCGGCAUGCUGGUUGGCAUUAACGUGCAGUGCGAACGCGCACUUGUAUCUUCGAGUGAACCUCCGCUCACCUGGCGGUUCCCGUGAUCUGUGACGUGCAGCGCGGGCGCAUCCGCGGCGUGCUGGGCUACCGCAUGGGCCAGCAGUUUCAGAUGGGCAGCUACCCGUUCCAUUUCCACAUGGCGGGCGAGGUGCCGUCUGACAGCUACAUGACCGACAACGCAGUGUACGCCAGCUACUGGCGAGGUGCGCUUAUGGAGGCUUCAGGAUGUGUGUACUGUGAAGGCUGUCGUUGCAGAAUGGCCAUCCCAAACUUGCCCUGAUGACUGCCUUGACCGUAUGCCUACCUCUUGCCCACGCUCGCAGCCUUCACCAUCCACGGCACGCACGCGCUGACGGUGGCCAGCAACACCGCCUUCCACGUGGCCGGCUCGGCGUUCUACAUUGAGGACGGCGCGGAGGAGCGCAACCGCAUCAGCGGCAACUUUGCCGGCUUCGUGCACCCGCUGGGCCGUGUGGACACGUGCGACGCGGUUGGCAGCGUGUUCGGCGCGCCCACCAUCUACCAGUCUGCUACACUGCUGCAGCCUGCCGACUGGGCCGCUGCUGGCUUCUACCUUAGGUGGGCGCAUGGGGCUAGGGCCGCCUGUGUAUGGUUUCUUGCCUUUGCAAUAUCUGCGUGCGUGCCAUACGCUACGACUUGGUGAUUCCCACACGGGCUUCCCAUCGUUGCAGCAACGCCUACAACUACAUCGACAACAACGCGGCCAGUGGCGGCACCAGCGGCUUCAUGUUCCUGAACCUGCCCUUGCCGAUCGGGGUGAGUGCCGGUGUGUGCCCCCUCAUUGCAUGCUGGGUGGCAUCUUUCUUUCACAAUGCUCAAUCGUGACCCGGCUGGUGACUUCGUUUCACUAUGCCGCCUGUGCGUGCCCAUAUCUGCCCAGCUGAACCGCAACGUGCCGCUGGAGCCCUACAAGCGGCCCCCGCUGAGCUUCAGCGGCAACACCGCGCACUCGUCCGGCUAUCACUGGGACAAUGCGGGUGCAAUCUACUGCGGCGGUAACCUGCAGUACGACACAGACAACGUGACGCUGAUCUACAAGAUUGAGCGGUCCACGUUUGACCCCACGUGAGUCUUUGUGAGCUGCUUACAGCUUUCCCUUUCGCCCAGCCAUUUCGGCAACAUGCGCCGUACUCUCCCUCACUUACUUACCACAGAGACACGGCCAACUCUUCGUUACCGGUCAAGUUUGUGUUGCGCAACACCAAAGUGUGGCUGGGCGGCUUCUCAGUCGCUUCCUAUGGCGACCGGUUCUUGGUGAGUCAUUACGAUGCAUGUGGCCUUUGCCCCUGUGACUGCUUGCAAGCACGUUUGCUGCUGGACCGCACAUGAACCUACGCGCUACCUACCUGCGUCUUGCUUGUGCCCGCCCCCAGGUGGACGGCUUUGAGUCGCAUGACGGCACCAUGGGCGCGGCGGUGCGCGGUGACCCCAAUGAGCUGCUCAAUGCCGACCUGAACCUCAACUCCGCCCACGCCGGCUGGCUGACUGCCAACAUCCCCAAUGAGUGAGUCUUCUGCCUGCAAUCAUAGGCCAUGCUAUGCCGCUCGUCGCAGCUACCCGGUCGAUAACGCCCGUAAGCCCCAUCGCACCCGGCUGCUCCUUUGGUUUACCACUCGCAGCCUGCAACAAGGCUACCGCUUCGGUCUGCAGUUCUACGACACGUGGAUGCGGCACCUUAUGUCCAACGUCACCAUCCGCAACGUGGUGUACAGCAGCACCGAGUGGCUCACGCAGGCGGCGCUGGUGGCAUUGACCUUUUCGGACCAGUUUAAGCCGUUCCACGUGGCCAGCAUUCGGGGCAUCCGCCUAGUGAACGUGACCAAGGCGGCCGUGUUGAGCAACCCCGUGGUCCGCACUGGGUCAUGGCGCUUCUACAACUUCCUGGGUGCGGACACGAAUGGCGGGGCACGUUCCAUUAGUUUGCUUGUGUAUGUGUAAGGAAGUUUUGUACCUUUGUUGUGCCACACGCCCGUUCUUGAUCUUGCCCGAUGCACACACUGACCUGCAGACGCGGACGGUUCCUUCACGGGCACCAAGCGCCCCACGCUGGUAGCGUCCUACUCCGCCACCAACAACACCGGGCCCUGCGAUGCCGCUGCGCCCACACCCUGCACCUCGAGCUUUAACUGGUGGCGCACGGACACGGCCUGCACGGCCACGCCGCCAAAUGUGUGAGUGCGGGGUCGGCUGGGCUAUUGGCUGUGCCGGUGACUUGGCAGUGCAGGGCAACAUAGCACGCACUGCUGACACUCAACACCACUGGCAUUGCUAUCUGUCCCUCAACCAACAAACACAUGCGCAGGCCUGCAACGUCGAACGUCCUCGCGUGUGACUGGUGGGUGGAGAAUGGACGGACCUGCUGUGUGCUUUGUGGAUGCAAACAUAGCAGCUGUUGCCUUUUAUGCUGCACAUUGACGGAUACGUACAUGGGCAUUGACCCUACCUGCUUUUACUCGCCGUGUUCGCCAGGUACCCAUGGCGCACCCAGGGGCGCCUGAGGCUGGAGGUGCCGAGCUAUGACCUCACGGUAACAACUUGAUGGUCUGCACGCCUCGCUAUGAACCUUCCACGUGGGGUGUCCCAACCAACAACGUGUUAUGCGACCUGCAUUCGCGUCACGUUUGCCUUGACUACGCUCCUGCGCAGACUGAAGAGGCUGGCUGGUUGUGGCCUUCCGUCAACAACAUCAACGUGUACGACGCCGGCGUGGUGGCGCAGUUCGGCCAGACCGGCGCCAGCCGCCGCGCCACCAUCAUCACUCGGGCCGAGGGCGUGACGGGCCUGACGGGGCGCGGCGGCUGGUACGCGCACUGGAGCCUGGGCGCACCCAAGUACGUCAAGGUGCAUUUGGAGACUGUGCCCCGCGGCACCUCCAUCAUCUUUGCUACGCGCUACCCCGCCGGCACCACCUUCAGCAUCACCCGCGUGGCCAGCUCCUGGCUGGUGCCUGACGGGCAGCUGCUGCCCGCGACCAGCCUGGCGGCGGUGCUGGGCAGCGACUCCGGCGAGUUCUACUUCUUUGACGGCAAGCUGCUGUACCUGAAGCUGGUGGACCUUUGGGAGGAGCCGUACCAGGGUCGGCUGCCGGCCCGGAGCGGCGGGCUGAUGGUGCCCGGCAGCCGCUGGGAGGAGUACUAUGAGGUGACGGCCAGCAUCCCUGGCUGCUCCACGUCGCCGUACCCCAGUCAGAACGGACAAGACUUCUCUGGGCAGUUCUGUGCCAUGAACGUGAGUCAGGAUCAGGCCAAUGAGGCCAUGCAUUGGGACUGGGAGUAGGCAUGGCAGGGGCAGCAGGGGCAGGGACUGUGUGCACGUGCCCCUUUGGAACCCAGAACGGCGCCAGCCUCACCAAACCUGCCGCUGGGCCACCCUGUGUACAUACCGUAUGACAUUCUUCCUCUCCUUGCGCUCCAGGGCACUGUGGACAGCUUCAUCCCGCCCGCCAUCACGGCGGCCUACAACGAAUGGACCAUCCCCUACUGCGCCGAGGUGGCGCCGCCGCUGAGCGUAUGCAGCGCACUCAACGUGUCUGCCGGCAACUGCACCUGCGCGACGUUGCAGCAGCAGGGCCGCUGCGCUGACAUGGGAACCGGCGGCGUGUGGCUGGGCAACACGUCGGACGCCAACCUGCGUGCCAAUGUGGCCAAGACGCUCGGCUACUGCUCUGUGACGUGCGGUCGCUGCAGCGAGGGCCAGGAGUGGUGCCGCGACAUCCCCAUCAUGCCGCUCAGCCUGUCCA
RNAcentral lists this long non-coding RNA (6246 nucleotides) under Chlamydomonas reinhardtii. Its description in RNAcentral is "long non-coding RNA (CREI_LNC000542)". The record is from RNAcentral. Lineage: Eukaryota; Viridiplantae; Chlorophyta; Chlorophyceae; Chlamydomonadales; Chlamydomonadaceae.